Non-coding RNA from Potamilus streckersoni, 72 nucleotides. NCBI's taxonomy places the organism in Eukaryota, Metazoa, Mollusca, Bivalvia, Unionida, Unionidae. The record is from the annotation of a GenBank genome assembly.
GCUCCGGUGGCCAAGUUGUAGAGCGUCCGCCUCAUAUGCGUGAGGUCGCGGGUUCGAACCCCGUCCGAGUCA